AUGUACAAGAUGCCAUGCGCUCCAUUCAUAGGAAUAAAUAACCACAAUCAGUCAUUGCAGUUCGGAUGCGGGCUCGUUCGGAACGAAGACAUGGAUGGGUACACUUGGCUGUUCAAGACCUUCUUGGAGUGCAUGGGUGGACUUGCUCCGAUAAACAUAAUAACAGACCAGGAUUUUAGCAUGCGUGCAGGCAUAGAGGUCGUUCCGUUGGCAGUGCACAGGCACUGCAGGUGGCACAAUAUAAAGAAGGCUGAGGAGACGCUAGGACCGUUCUUUGCUGACCGUCCAGAGCUGCACAAGGCAUUUGAGCUGUGCGUGGACCAUAGCUUGACGGUGGAGGAGUUUGAAAGGAGCUGUAUGGCUAUGAUUGAAACAUAUCAAGUCCAAGACCACGAGACGCUUGCUAGCUUGUGGGAGAAGCGAAUGUACUGGAUGCCGGCCUACUUCAUGCAGUGCUUCUUCCCGUUUCUGCAGACUACACAGCGCAGUGAGGGGUUCAAUGCUGUUUUGAAGCGGUACAUGAGCCCUGGCAACUCAUUGCUACAGUUUGCCAAGAAGUACACCGCUUUGCAACAAAAAAUACUGGGAUCCGAGCUACAGCAAGAAGCAAACACCGCGCUCAAGUAG
Molecule: ribosomal RNA, 627 nt
Filed under: Triticum aestivum (bread wheat)
Lineage: Eukaryota; Viridiplantae; Streptophyta; Magnoliopsida; Poales; Poaceae
Description: partial small subunit ribosomal RNA
Source: RNAcentral